Molecule: long non-coding RNA, 1344 nt
Filed under: Monodelphis domestica (gray short-tailed opossum)
Lineage: Eukaryota; Metazoa; Chordata; Mammalia; Didelphimorphia; Didelphidae
Description: lncRNA (ENSMODG00000042270.1)
Source: RNAcentral
GAGCCAAGAACACAAGGUACAAGUGGAGCCCAAGAGUGACCAGGCUACCCUACAGGUUCCCGUCAUCUCUCUAUCUAGGCAGGCACUGAUGCCAGCACACAGUCAACCAGCCAGCCAGUCAGCCAGCCAGCAGCGUCUAGUGUAUUCUCUACCUGCUUCACUCCCUUCACAGACCUAGCCAGGACAUGGUGAGGACCAAGGAGAAUAGUGAACGUGCUGGUAAAAGGGACAGCUGUCUCAUCCCUGCAAGGCCAAAUUCGGCCUGCUGUUGCCAGGAACGACACUUCCCCCCUUUUGAGAGAGUGGAAACAUCUGGUCACCCACAAAGCACAUCAUGCCAGCCAACACAAGACCAGGAAGAGAAGCAGACCAACGCUGUUGACAUCAGCUAACUACACGCCAGCCACUCUCCAGGCACGCUGGAAGGACACUUCACCGGUGACUAAGAUCACUCCACAAGACUGACGUGACACUAUCAGUGACAUUAGCUAUUAGGCUACUGUGGGACACUGGUCCGGCUGACAUCCAUUGAUAUAGUGUACCCAAACCAAGAGCAAGGAUGCUAACUCAGAAGGACUAAACCACACUUGUGUCUGUCUAAGACAUCAGAUAAAUCCCACACUCCGAGGUCUUUCUUAGGGAAUCAAAUCUGUCAAAAGGAUACAUUGUAAAACUACUACUAGUAUUGUAAGAAAUGCUGCUAUCACCGAGGGUAUAGACAUUGGUAUGACUCUCCAAAGAGGAGGAGAUCGAAAACUUUCACUCAUAGCAUAGAUCUGAUACCUCGGACAACAAAAAGUGAGGUGCCAGGCAGAAAAUGCUACACAGGCAGGUUUAAUGGACAGAUGAUCCUGAUGUGACUCUGGAAAAAAGGUAUGAGAGAUCAGCCAAAAUGCACUCUGAAACCUGUCAUCAGGAACCUAAGUUAUUGAAAAAGAUCAUUUACAACCAUGCAAAGAUGAUGUUCCUGCCAAUAACUAGGUGGACGUGACAUGCCAACCACCAUGGGUGUACUUGAGUGUUAAUACCAUUGUUAACCAUUAGUCCUGAAAUCCUGUCUUUUGGGGUAAUAUCUUUAUGGGAACGGUUUCUUGCUCUCUACCAAUAGUCCCAGAAUUCAGGCAGGCCACUGGAUUCGGGGUCUAUUGGCUUCCCAUCCAAAUACUGGAAGACGUUCUGGUAUUUGAAAGUAAAGCCUCAGUGGUCAUCUGAGUGCGCUAGGUUGGACAAUUUCUGUGGACGCGCAGUUAUUGACUCUCCUAGGUGGAACGAGUUAUCACACACAUACAUGGAGCAAGGGCAAAGUAUGAUCUAAGUUUUCCUUUUUUGGAGUAGGUAUUGAAA